RNAcentral lists this ribosomal RNA (881 nucleotides) under Orthotylinae gen. ZANCGEN1 sp. Msp189. RNAcentral describes it as "partial large subunit ribosomal RNA". It matches the Rfam family "Eukaryotic large subunit ribosomal RNA", at positions 1088 to 1882 of the family's 3401-position model. The record is from RNAcentral. Lineage: Eukaryota; Metazoa; Arthropoda; Insecta; Hemiptera; Miridae.
AACUAUGAAGCCAAGGGGUUUCGGAUCAGAGUGCCAAGUGGGCCAAUUUUGGUAAGCAGAACUGGCGCUGUGGGAUGAACCAAACGCGGAGUUAAGGCGCCUCAAUCGACGCUCAUGUGAGACCAUGAAAGGCGUUGGUUGCUUAAGACAGCAGGACGGUGGCCAUGGAAGUCGGAAUCCGCUAAGGAGUGUGUAACAACUCACCUGCCGAAGCAACUAGCCCUGAAAAUGGAUGGCGCUGUAGCGUCGUGCCUAUACUCCGCCGUCAACGGCAACGCAGGCAGCUCUCUCACGGGAGCGGCGCUGUUAAGCCUUGACGAGUAAGAGGGCCGCGGCGACGUGCGCAGAAGGGUUUUGGGCGUGAGCCUGCCUGGAGCCGUCGUCGGUGCAGAUCUUGGUGGUAGUAGCAAAUACUCCAGCGAGGCCCUGGAGGACUGAUGUGGAGAAGGGUUUCUUGUGAACAGCUGUUGCACAAGAGUCAGUCGAUCCUAAGCCCUAGGAGAAAUCCGAAGCGAUGGGUUGCCGUUAAAUGUCACAAGCUUGAUGUUGGCACCAUUUGGGCGAAAGGGAAUCUGGUUCCUAUUCCAGAACCUGGCAGUGGAACCGUUCCAAAUCGGGCCCUCAUUGAGGACUCGUCAGGGCAACCUGAAAGGACCCGGAGACGCCGUCGGGAGAUUCAGGGAGAGUUGUCUCUUCUCUAUAAGCGAUCGAGUUCCCUGGAAACCUCUAGCAGGGAGAUAGGGUUUGGAUCGCGAAGAGCACCGCAGUUACGGCGGUGUCCGAAUCUUCCCCACGGACCUUGAAAAUCCGGGAGAGGGCCACGAGGAACCCCACGCCAGAUCGUACCCAUAUCCGCAGCAGGUCUCCAAGGUGAAAAGCCU